Molecule: long non-coding RNA, 330 nt
Organism: Rhipicephalus microplus (southern cattle tick)
Lineage: Eukaryota; Metazoa; Arthropoda; Arachnida; Ixodida; Ixodidae
Gene: Amph
Source: RefSeq, a predicted model, not a curated record
AGAUAUUGCAAAACCUUGGGCGAGCAGACAGGACUAAGGAUGAAGUUUUUGAAGUGUACUUGUACAACUUCACAAGGCAGCAGACGGCAGCAGCCAAACUGCAGAAGGAGUUCAAAAACUAUGUGCUGUGCAUCAAGAGCUUGCAGCUAGCCAGCAAGGCACUCAUGGACACACUGAGUGAGAUCUACGAGCAGGAGUGGGUCGGACACGAACAGAUCCCCGUCAAGGCACAGACUUUGGAACUUCUUUGGGACGACUACCACAGGAAGAUGAAUGACCAGGUGAUGAUUCCAUUGAACAGCUACAUCACUCAGUUUGUAGACGUUAGGG